Molecule: ribosomal RNA, 253 nt
Filed under: uncultured bacterium
Lineage: Bacteria
Description: partial 16S ribosomal RNA
Rfam family: Bacterial small subunit ribosomal RNA
Source: RNAcentral
UACAGAGGGGGCCAGCGUUAUUCGGAAUUAUUGGGCGUAAAGGGCGCGUAGGCGGCCAUGCGUGUCUCCCGUGAAAUCCCUCGGCUCGACCGAGGACGUGCGGAAGAAACUGCAAGGCUCGAGUCCGGAAGAGGGGGGCGGAAUUCCCAGUGUAGCGGUGAAAUGCGUAGAUAUUGGGAGGAACACCAGUGGCGAAGGCGGUCCCCUGGGCCGGAACUGACGCUGAGGCGCGAAAGCGUGGGGAGCGAACAGG